CAGCUAACCGGAGACGUACAACAUUGAGCACGGCAUUAAUGUGACUUUAUGGAUUCACCCCAGCUGGUAACCAAGGGCAACAACCCCUGUACUGCAAGCCAUAAAAUACGUCAAUUAUUAAUGUUGGUGCUGAGAGGACAGAGGAACAGCGAGUGAAUCACCGGGCAGACGGAGUGUGUGUUUCUAAAGAGCGUGUGCGCCUGGUUUUACCGUGCAGGUUCAACUGUCCGGAGAACCACUGAAACACAGCCAGGAGAGAACAUCUGAAGUGCGUUUGCGCGCGUGGAUAGGCUCGGUACAUUAAUCUAGACUUAGAAUUAGACUUUGUCCGGUUAGAAUGUGUGUACAGAAGUAACGGGAAGUGGCGCGCUGAGCUAUUAAGAGCAGCCUACUAAACUGGGAGUACGAGCCGGUGACCCCGCGUGACGGGGAGUGAGUCUCAAGACAGGUAAAGCUACUCCAGUAUCAUGAUGGAAGGGUCAGAGACCACUACUGUUAGAGAGGUCCACAUCAUUCCGAUGACAUCAUCAACUGCCUCCCCCCCAGCUGUGUCCAGACCCCACACCCUCCCCUCCUCCUCCCCCACCUCUCUCUCUCUCCUCCUCCCCCUCCUCCUCCCCCACUCACCCCCUCUCUCUGAGACACCCCCAGCUCCAAGAAGAGUUUCUGAAGAGAGUCAGAAUAAGUGAGACUUUCCAUUCUUGAUAACACUGUCCUCAUCUCUCCCUCCCCCACCUCCUCCCUCUCCUCCCCCACCUCCUCCCUCUCCUCCUCCACCUCCUCCCUUUCCUCCCCCCCUUCCUCUCCCCGUCCACAGGCUUGCUCCCCCACCUCCCCCCAGCCUGCAGGCCAGUCUGUCUCUCUCCAGUCCAGAGCUUCUGACGGAGCUGAAAGGCUCUCAGUCCCGCCCCCUCAAACAUGUCUCCGCCUCCAGAGGGCUCACGCUCGUCUUCUCUGGACGGGGGAGGGGGGGCCUAAUGGGUGAGGGG
Long non-coding RNA from Osmerus eperlanus (European smelt), 989 nucleotides. RefSeq lists it as uncharacterized. NCBI's taxonomy places the organism in Eukaryota, Metazoa, Chordata, Actinopteri, Osmeriformes, Osmeridae. The transcript has 4 exons. The record is from RefSeq and is a predicted model, not a curated record.